RNAcentral lists this ribosomal RNA (497 nucleotides) under uncultured bacterium. RNAcentral describes it as "partial 16S ribosomal RNA". It matches the Rfam family "Bacterial small subunit ribosomal RNA", at positions 29 to 507 of the family's 1533-position model. The record is from RNAcentral.
AAUGAACGCUGGCGGCAUGCCUAAUACAUGCAAGUCGAGCGGACGGACGGUGAGCGUUCUCCUCUGCCGUUGGCGACGGGCGGGUGAGUAACACGUAGAUAACCUACCUCUAAUACUUGGAUAACUUCGGGAGACCAGAUCUACUACCGGCUCAUAUAUUGAACCGCAGGGUUCAAUGGUUCUACACGCUUUUGCUGUCCCUUAUAGAUGGUUCCGCGCCGCAUUAGCUAGUUGGUAAGGUAACGGCCUACCAAGGCAACGAUGCGUAGCCGACCUGAGAGGGUGAUCAGCCACACUGGAACUGAGACACGGUCCAGACUCCUACGGGAGGCAGCAGUGGGGAAUCUUCGGCAAUGGGCGAAAGCCUGACGGAGCAAUGCCGCGUGAGUGAUGAAGGUCUUCGGAUCGUAAAACUCUGUUAUUAGGGAAGAAAAAAAGUGUAAGAAACCAUGCCCGUUUUGACGGUACCUAAUGAGAAAGCAACGGCUAACUACGUG